GGCUCAGUGAUUGCAGCCAAAUACAUUGGCAGUAUACGCUAUGCUGAUCUCAGUUUGAUGAAAAUUUAAACUAUGAGAGCU
Phragmites australis (common reed) is the source of this 81-nucleotide small nucleolar RNA. RefSeq annotates it as small nucleolar RNA U54. The record is from RefSeq and is a predicted model, not a curated record. NCBI's taxonomy places the organism in Eukaryota, Viridiplantae, Streptophyta, Magnoliopsida, Poales, Poaceae. The transcript has a single exon.